RNAcentral lists this ribosomal RNA (252 nucleotides) under uncultured bacterium. RNAcentral describes it as "partial 16S ribosomal RNA". It matches the Rfam family "Bacterial small subunit ribosomal RNA", at positions 524 to 776 of the family's 1533-position model. The record is from RNAcentral.
UACGUAGGGUGCGAGCGUUGUCCGGAAUUAUUGGGCGUAAAGGGCUCGUAGGCGGUCUGUCGCGUCGGGAGUGAAAACUCAGGGCUUAACCCUGAGCCUGCUUCCGAUACGGGCAGACUAGAGGUAUGCAGGGGAGAACGGAAUUCCUGGUGUAGCGGUGGAAUGCGCAGAUAUCAGGAGGAACACCGGUGGCGAAGGCGGUUCUCUGGGCAUACCUGACGCUGAGGAGCGAAAGUGUGGGGAGCGAACAGG